UUCGCCCUUUUCCGGUUGAUCCUGCCGGAAGUUACUGCUAUCGGUGUUCGACUAAGCCAUGCGAGUCAAAUGUUCUUCGUGAACAUGGCGGACUGCUCAGUAACACGUGGAUAACCUGCCCUUAGGUUCGGCAUAACUCCGGGAAACUGGAGAUAAUUCCGAAUAGGUCAAAUAUGCUGGAAUGCUUUUUGGCCAAAAGACCUCGGUUGCCUAAGGAUGGAUCUGCGGUCUAUCAGGUUGUAGUGGGUGUAACGCACCUACUAGCCUACGACGGAUAUGGGUUGUGAGAGCAAGAGCCCAGAGAUGGAUUCUGAGACAUGAAUCCAGGCCCUACGGGGCGCAGCAGGCGCGAAAACUUUACAAUGCGGGAAACCGCGAUAAGGGGACACCGAGUGCCAGCAUUUAUGUUGGCUGUCCACAUGUGUAAACGGCAUGUGUUAGCAAGGGCCGGGCAAGACCGGUGCCAGCCGCCGCGGUAACACCGGCGGCCCGAGUGGUAAUCACUUUUAUUGGGUCUAAAGGGUCCGUAGCCGGUUUGAUCAGUUCUUCGGGAAAUCUGACAGCUCAACUGUUAGGCUUCCGGGGAAUACUGUCAGACUUGGGACCGGGAGAGGUAAGAGGUACUACAGGGGUAGGAGUGAAAUCUUGUAAUCCCUGUGGGACCACCAGUGGCGAAGGCGUCUUACC
Molecule: ribosomal RNA, 687 nt
Filed under: uncultured archaeon
Lineage: Archaea
Description: bacterial SSU rRNA
Rfam family: Archaeal small subunit ribosomal RNA
Source: RNAcentral